CCUACGGGAGGCAGCAGUGAGGAAUAUUGGUCAAUGGCCGGAAGGCUGAACCAGCCAUGCCGCGUGAAGGUCAGUGCCCUAUGGGCGUUAAACUUCUUUUGUGCGGGAGCAAUAAUGGUCACGUGUGGCCAGACGAGAGUACCGUACGAAUAAGCAUCGGCUAACUCCGUGCCAGCAGCCGCGGUAAUACGGGGGAUGCAAGCGGUAUCCGGAUUUAUUGGGUUUAAAGGGUGCGUAGGCUGUGAGGUAAGUCAGCGGUGAAAUGCCCCCGCUCAAAGGGGUGAAGUGCCAUUGAUACUGCCAUGCUGGAAUGCGGAUGCCGUGGGAGGAAUGUGUGGUGUAGCGGUGAAAUGCAUAGAUAUCACACAGAACACCGAUUGCGAAGGCAUCUCACGAAUCCGCGAUUGACGCUGAUGCACGAAAGCGUGGGUAUCAAACAGGAUUAGAUACCCCAGUAGUC
RNAcentral lists this ribosomal RNA (460 nucleotides) under uncultured bacterium. RNAcentral describes it as "partial 16S ribosomal RNA". It matches the Rfam family "Bacterial small subunit ribosomal RNA", at positions 338 to 795 of the family's 1533-position model. The record is from RNAcentral.